UUCUAUUUUGUGAGAUAUCGCGAGACAAGGAAGGUGAUAAGCCAGGGGAUACUCAAUCGAGAAAGAAAAUUUUACAAAUGGGAGAUUAAUCUAUAGAGGACGCAGAAAGGAGAAACGUUAACUGCAAAACUGGACUUGAUAGAUAUUUUGAUAUUUACAGGCUAAACUCUAUGUGCGUUUGAUGUCUUAGGCUUCGAUCUGUGACAAUCACACGUAUAUAACAUUGGAAAGGACACAUCUAUCUACCAAAAUACGAUUAUGAGAAAUAGAAAACGUGCAUUGUAUCAAGACCUUUUCCCGUUUUUACCAGAACAGUUUGUCAGUUGCACUGUUGAUGGGUCCGUUGAUAUUGAUUUCCCAACAGAUGCUGAGCUAGAAGAGGCUUACCAGUUGAUCAAUGAUGCGAUUGAUGAAGAAAUUGGCUUUGGCGCUGAUGAAUACCCAACACUAGAGUAUUUCGUGGACGUGAUGCGUCACGAUUCAAUAUUACCGUUUGUGUUAAAGGAACGAUCAUCCAAGAAAGUUGUUGGAUUCUUCUUUACAGCCCCUACUAGGUUUCACAGGGGAGUAAACCCUAUAUAUUGUGAUAUGAAUAUUGUAUUGCAUCCAUCAUACAGGACGUUUGGGUACUUGAAUGAUUUCCUGAACUCUGUUGUAUGGAGGUAUGCUGAGACAUUGGGUUAUGAGGGGUUCAUUGGAGAGCACCUUACUAACGAUUGGAAGGGCCUGAAGAGUUUGGUCAAACGACAGGGCUAUGAGUUAUUAGGGAGACUGCCUUGUGUGACCAAGUUGAAGCACUCUGGCUACGUUGAUAGUUUUAUUGUCAUGAAAAGGUUUAACAAAGAUGCACAGUUGUGUUCGCAAACAGAGAUCCGACCAAAGCUCGUGGUUCCAACUCCAGAUAUAACUAAAAUCAAAGUGAACAGUCAACCAAAGAAGGCAACAAAACGGAGAUGUACCCUUUUAGAUGGACGUGAAAUAGUUGUCGAUUAUGCGAAAGAAGACGAACUGAAAACAAUAUACGAUUUCUUUGUAAAAGCUCAAAAAGAGGGAGAUGGGUACGCCGUUGAUGAGUAUCCAACGUACAAUCAUUUCGUUUUUAAGUUCAGGAAAAGCCACGUGUUCACUAUGAAGGUAGCUGAUGGGAGAAUUGUCGGGAUGAUGUCUGUUAUCCCAAGCCGAUUCAGUAGAAGUGCCGAACCAACGAUCGCCGCCGGACCAAUGUACGUAACCCAUGAAAUCAGGGGAAAGGGCGAUUUCCCAAAGUUUUUAUUGAUUCAAGCUCUUCUUGGAAUAGAAUGUGGUUACACUGGUUCAGUUGGAGAUACAUUUGUGACAAAUAAAAGGGUGGUUCGGACAUCAGGAGGCAAUGACGGUUCCAACAUCAUAGCCACAAUUCCAAGAUCAGCGUAUGCUGCUGGACAAGGCUGGGUGGAUUCGCAUGUCAUGGGUGGUAAAUUCUUAGAUUUUGGAUUUGCUGCAGAUGUAGAGAAUUUAGCUGCGAAUAUGCCAAUUUCUAAACUUUGAACUGUCAUGGUCAGGACAACAUAAACCUUAAACAUAAAUCUUUUUCGUGAGUUCUAUGCUGGCAAUGUUGUCAAUCAAUCGGACAAAUGUAUGAUGUUGCUUUAUUACCUUAAGUACACAUCAUAUGUUUGUCUGAUCAUAAGCUCGAAUAGUUGUGUUUCAAAUAUUAAU
RNAcentral lists this unclassified non-coding RNA (1698 nucleotides) under Owenia fusiformis. RNAcentral's name for it is "misc RNA OFUS_LOCUS14120". Lineage: Eukaryota; Metazoa; Annelida; Polychaeta; Sabellida; Oweniidae. The record is from RNAcentral.